Salvia hispanica is the source of this 367-nucleotide long non-coding RNA. RefSeq lists it as uncharacterized. The record is from RefSeq and is a predicted model, not a curated record. Lineage: Eukaryota; Viridiplantae; Streptophyta; Magnoliopsida; Lamiales; Lamiaceae.
UAUUAGACACGAAGAGGGAGAAAAAUACGGUGAAGGGAGCGAAAGAAACGAGUUUGGCAAAGAAAAGAAAAUGAAGAUGGUUCGACGAGAUUGGAAAUCAUUAGACGAGAUCGAAGGUUCAGUUAAUUAGUCUAUCUUAUUCAGGAAUAAGAUAUGAAUGAUGCGUGGGUUGAUGUGAGUUACAGUUAUUAUAAGGGUCGGCGGCUGACGCGUUUUUAGCAACCUUCUCCUCCUCAUCAUUUUUGCAUGUAGAUAAUGUAUAGUAUACAAAGUGGUGAGAGAGUCUCACUACCGUUUAGAAUGUUGUGAAAUAUGUAAUUGAUAAAUGUUGAUUUCAGAAAUUAUAUAAUAUGUGUGCUUUUGAAAA